This 253-nucleotide ribosomal RNA is filed under the name uncultured bacterium. RNAcentral describes it as "partial 16S ribosomal RNA". It matches the Rfam family "Bacterial small subunit ribosomal RNA", at positions 524 to 776 of the family's 1533-position model. The record is from RNAcentral.
UACGGAGGGAGCUAGCGUUGUUCGGAAUUACUGGGCGUAAAGCGCACGUAGGCGGCUUUGUAAGUUAGAGGUGAAAGCCCGGGGCUCAACUCCGGAACUGCCUUUAAGACUGCAUCGCUUGAAUCCGGGAGAGGUGAGUGGAAUUCCGAGUGUAGAGGUGAAAUUCGUAGAGAUGUGGAGGAACACCAGUGGCGAAGGCGACUCUUUGGCCUGUAACUGACGCUGAGGCGCGAAAGCGUGGGGAGCAAACAGG